CCUACGGGUGGCUGCAGUGGGGAAUAUUGGGCAAUGGGCGCAAGCCUGACCCAGCAAAGCCGCGUGAAGGAAGAAGGCUUUCGGGUUGUAAACUUCUUUUCUCAGGGACGAAGAAAGUGACGGUACCUGAGGAAUAAGCCACGGCUAACUACGUGCCAGCAGCGGCGGCAAUACGUAGGUGGCAAGCGUUAUCCGGAUUUACUGGGUGUAAAGGGCGUGUAGGCGGGACUGCAAGUCAGAUGUGAAAACCACGGGCUCAACCUGUGGCCUGCAUUUGAAACUGUAGUUCUUUAGUACUGGAGGGGCAGAGGGAAUUGCUGGUGUAGCGGUGAAAGGCGUGGAUAUUAGGAGGAACACCAGUGGCGAGGGCGGUCUGCUGGACAGCAACUGACGCUGAGGCGCGAAAGCGUGGGGAGCAAACAGGAUUGGAUACCCGAGUAUC
Molecule: ribosomal RNA, 442 nt
Filed under: uncultured bacterium
Lineage: Bacteria
Description: partial 16S ribosomal RNA
Rfam family: Bacterial small subunit ribosomal RNA
Source: RNAcentral